RNAcentral lists this ribosomal RNA (1372 nucleotides) under uncultured bacterium. RNAcentral describes it as "bacterial SSU rRNA". It matches the Rfam family "Bacterial small subunit ribosomal RNA", at positions 28 to 1381 of the family's 1533-position model. The record is from RNAcentral.
GAUGAACGCUGGCGGCGUGCCUAAUACAUGCAAGUCGAGCGAACGGACGAGAAGCUUGCUUCUCUGAUGUUAGCGGCGGACGGGUGAGUCACACGUGGAUAACCUACCUAUAAGACUGGGAUAACUUCGGGAAACCGGAGCUAAUACCGGAUAAUAUUUCGAACCGCAUGGUUCAAAAGUGAAAGACGGUCUUGCUGUCACUUAUAGAUGGAUCCGCGCUGCAUUAGCUAGUUGGUAAGGUAACGGCUUACCAAGGCAACGAUGCAUAGCCGACCUGAGAGGGUGAUCGGCCACACUGGAACUGAGACACGGUCCAGACUCCUACGGGAGGCAGCAGUAGGGAAUCUUCCGCAAUGGGCGAAAGCCUGACGGAGCAACGCCGCGUGAGUGAUGAAGGUCUUCGGAUCGUAAAACUCUGUUAUUAGGGAAGAACAUAUGUGUAAGUAACUGUGCACAUCUUGACGGUACCUAAUCAGAAAGCCACGGCUAACUACGUGCCAGCAGCCGCGGUAAUACGUAGGUGGCAAGCGUUAUCCGGGAUUAUUGGGCGUAAAGCGCGCGUAGGCGGUUUUUUAAGUCUAAUGUGAAAGCCCACGGCUCAACCGUGGAGGGUCAUUGGAAACUGGAAAACUUGAGUGCAGAAGAGGAAAGUGGAAUUCCAUGUGUAGCGGUGAAAUGCGCAGAGAUAUGGAGGAACACCAGUGGCGAAGGCGACUUUCUGGUCUGUAACUGACGCUGAUGUGCGAAAGCGUGGGGAUCAAACAGGAUUAGAUACCCUGGUAGUCCACGCCGUAAACGAUGAGUGCUAAGUGUUAGGGGGUUUCCGCCCCUUAGUGCUGCAGCUAACGCAUUAAGCACUCCGCCUGGGGAGCACGACCGCAAGGUUGAAACUCAAAGGAAUUGACGGGGACCCGCACAAGCGGUGGAGCAUGUGGUUUAAUUCGAAGCAACGCGAAGAACCUUACCAAAUCUUGACAUCCUUUGACAACUCUAGAGAUAGAGCCUUCCCCUUCGGGGGACAAAGUGACAGGUGGUGCAUGGUUGUCGUCAGCUCGUGUCGUGAGAUGUUGGGUUAAGUCCCGCAACGAGCGCAACCCUUAAGCUUAGUUGCCAUCAUUAAGUUGGGCACUCUAAGUUGACUGCCGGUGACAAACCGGAGGAAGGUGGGGAUGACGUCAAAUCAUCAUGCCCCUUAUGAUUUGGGCUACACACGUGCUACAAUGGACAAUACAAAGGGCAGCGAAACCGCGAGGUCAAGCAAAUCCCAUAAAGUUGUUCUCAGUUCGGAUUGUAGUCUGCAACUCGACUACAUGAAGCUGGAAUCGCUAGUAAUCGUAGAUCAGCAUGCUACGGUGAAUACGUUCCCGGGUCU